AAAUAGAUACCCCGGUAGUCCACGCCGUAAACGAUGAGUGCUAAGUGUUAGAGGGUUUCCGCCCUUUAGUGCUGCAGCUAACGCAUUAAGCACUCCGCCUGGGGAGUACGGCCGCAAGGCUGAAACUCAAAGGAAUUGACGGGGGCCCGCACAAGCGGUGGAGCAUGUGGUUUAAUUCGAAGCAACGCGAAGAACCUUACCAGGUCUUGACAUCCUCUGCCAACCCUAGAGAUAGGGCGUUCCCCUUCGGGGGACAGAGUGACAGGUGGUGCAUGGUUGUCGUCAGCUCGUGUCGUGAGAUGUUGGGUUAAGUCCCGCAACGAGCGCAACCCUUGAUCUUAGCUGCCAGCAUUCAGUUGGGCACUCUAAGGUGACUGCCGGUGACAAACCGGAGGAAGGUGGGGAUGACGUCAAAUCAUCAUGCCCCUUAUGACCUGGGCUACACACGUGCUACAAUGGAUGGUACAAAGAGCUGCGAACCCGUGAGGGUAAGCGAAUCUCAUAAAGCCAUUCUCAGUUCGGAUUGUAGG
This 530-nucleotide ribosomal RNA is filed under the name uncultured bacterium. RNAcentral describes it as "bacterial SSU rRNA". It matches the Rfam family "Bacterial small subunit ribosomal RNA", at positions 776 to 1304 of the family's 1533-position model. The record is from RNAcentral.